Long non-coding RNA from Callithrix jacchus (white-tufted-ear marmoset), 2851 nucleotides. The record is from Ensembl. NCBI's taxonomy places the organism in Eukaryota, Metazoa, Chordata, Mammalia, Primates, Cebidae.
AUGAAGCCUUGGUGUCUCUUUUCUCUCUGCAAUGAUCUCCCACUGGUUCAUCUACUCCAGCCACACUGGCCUCCUUUUGGUCCAUCAGCUCACAAGGCAUCAAGGAGCCCUCACCUGGGAGGAGAACAUCCAGCCGCUGGCAAUCAGGACUUAUUUCCCCUUCAGCCCUGGAGAAGCGGCAGAGCCAGGUGUGACACUCUCUCACUCUUUCUCUCUCUGCCUGAUUCCCUUUCUAUCAGGAUUCUAGAUGAGGGUAAAGAGUAACAAAUCAAUGCUUAUGUUAUUGAAGAGGUUUGUGGCAGGGAAUAACCAUGUAACUCGCUGGGUCUGGAAUUAAAACCAGGGCUUGGAUGUCAAGCAAGGGAAAAGACCAAACUAGAGUGCUGAUAUGUUUGUAAACAAUGCUUUGACAAGAAUGGCCAUUUCUCUCGGUUUUUGGAUGUGUUUUACAGUGAUCCACAAGAACCAUAUAAGGCUGAAGCACAUCAGGAUCACCCGGGGGCUGAACAUGCAGUUUGCUAAACUUCAUCGCCAACCUCUUUGAUUAAGUAGGUCUGGGGUGGGGUCCAAGCAGUUGUGUUUCUAAUAAGUUUCCGGGUGAUGCUGAUGCUUUUGGCCAAGGACUACACUUUGAGAAUGACUUCUAUGGACCAAGCUAUUUGCAUAGAUCAAUUUCUGCACAGGUUGCAGUGCUGACUAAGUGGAUGUGAUGAACUAAUAAAUGCAACACCAGGACAAAACAAAAUUUAGUCUGCCUUGCUCCAAUUUUAUUCUAAUUAACAUCUGCUCUCUCUUGGGCUCCCUGCAAAAGUCUUUUGAUGUUUGCAUUCGUAACCACCACCAAAAUGAGCUUGAUGCAAAAAUUCAUUCAAUCGCUAAACAUUUUAUUUGUGAUGACAACAAAUUUUUAUUUCUCUAAUUUGAGAGUUGUUCUGUUUCGUCUUCUAUGGUGGCCUGAGCAGGUGUUUCUUUCUCUCUGACAUCCACCAGGCCUCACUGACUAAGAGUUUUCUAAUCUUUUCUCACCAUUUGCUCUUCAGAAUUCUGAUGUUCUUGGGGCUGGGGCCUGCUUUGUAUUUUAGGGGUCUUUGCCAAUUUAAACUGUCACUAUUUUAGUCUCAGAUAUAAAUAAAUAAUUUCUGAUAUCUGAGUCAUAAGGUGAAAUGAAAUAGUUUGGAAUAUAUUCCAAGACCUUGGCAUUCUUCAGGGAUAUGGUCCAAGACCUUCAUCAAUUCUCAAACUUGAGAAUUUCUAAUGCAGUCUGACUCCCACAUUCUUGCCUCAGUGAGACACUCUGAAACGUAGUUCCAGGAAAACAAGCCAGACAGCACCACGAAAACAUCUGAAGAAAGCAAUGCAAAGAGUUCAAUGGAGACAGGAAGUAAGGGCCAAAGAGGUCUUCUGGAAUACAAUGCUGAAAAUGAAAUAGUGCAAGUCAUUAAAUGAUUGCUUGCUUGCUGAGGAUCACUCUUUCAGAGGGAGAUGAAAGCAGGGACAUGAAAUGGAAUGGACUAAGUUAUUAUCUUCAUGUUUUACUGCAUAAGCAGAAGCGGCACCCAUUCUGGCUACAGAAACAGCUGGUAUGGAGCCAAUGGCGUGGUUUGUUAUGGGCUUGGGCUGGGCUGGUGCCUGCUGUAAAUUAUCAGGCACAUAAAGCUGAGACUAGAAGUUGGUCAGACAGGUAAGAACAGAACUCUGGUUAGAGACUCUCAAAUGAAGCGGACAGGUGAGGGUGGGAAGAGCAUUAAGUUUAUGGAGCACUCACCAUGGGCCUGCUUGUGUUUGGAGUGCAAAUAUGAUUGUGUCCAAACGGGGAGUUGGUUGGAUAGUCGUGUCAGAGACUAAAACAAGUAAAGACCUGAUCAGGAGUAGGUACCAGAUAAAAUACAGAAAACAUGGUUAAAUUUAAAUUUCAGGCAAACAAUGAAUAUUUGAAACAUGCUAAACAAUUACUUGUUCAAUUAAAACUUAACUGGGUGUUUUGUAUUUUUACUUGCUAAAUUGGACACCUUUAGUUCAGGAGGCAAACGUCAGAUAAGGCAGGUUGCAGCAGCUGAGCUGAAGUCAGAAGCACCCUCUGGGGUUCUGCUCAGGAGGUGAGCUUGCUGUGGGAUGCUGCAUAGUGAGGGAAAUCAGGGGAUCCACUUUCACCAGGUCUAGGGGAAAGCUGUAGGGAGCACUUCUGUGUCCAGCCAGAUGCUUUUAUGUUGCUUUUUUGUUUGUUUGUUUGUUUACAAAAAGCGAGAGAACUUUAAGAAGUCCUAGAGUCCAAGGGGUGACUUUGGGCAGAGACUCUAAUUGUGAAUCCUCUGUAGCUAGCUAGUACGUGUGACUCAGUAGUGGCAGAGAAGAGAGGGAAUUAAUGAGCAUCUGCUCUGAGUCAGGCAUUUUCCAUGGGCCACUAUCGAUAUUUUCUUAACAACUGUGAAGCUGUGGGGAGUGGUGGUGCCUAUUAAUUCCCUUGUACCCCAGUCCUUACUGAAAUCUAUUUUACUCCUCUCUUUUCCCUCCCCUGCAUACACACAUGCAAAGCCUGGACUUGACAGCUUUAUUUUCCAUGUAAAUCUUAUUAUUUAAACUGGGAAGAAACUUUCCUGAAGCUUUAGAAUGGGAAGGAGUGACUGAGCCUCUUUUUUUUUUGAGAUGGAGUUUUGCUCUUGUUACCCAGGCUGGAGUGCAAUGGCAUGAUCUCGGCUCACCACAACCUUUGCCUCCUGGGUUCAGGCAAUUCUCCUGCCUCAGCCUCCUGAGUAGCUGGGAUUACAGGCACGCACCACCAUGCCCAGCUAAUUUUUUUUAUUUUUAGUAGAGACGGGGAUUUCACCAUGUUGACCAGGAUGGUCUUGGUCUC